GCCGCAGUUAUAGGCUUGUUACUUUAAUAGCCCGAUGUUCCUGGGGACUCGGCUAAGGUUAUUCAUGUUUAAUGUAACUCAAAUCAAAUGAAAACAGUUAUUGUAGGCAGGUAAGUUUCCCUAGCUGGUCCCCUCUGUGUAAAUGCGUUCUUAUUCAAGUUUUCAACUCAGUCAUUCGUUUAAGAUGCAAUCUUGUGUUAUAAGUAUUAGGCUAUCAUGAUUAUACAGUGAGCAAGCUAUAUAAAUAAGUAUUUAAUAUAAUAAAAGUGUAGAGCAACAACCGAGGUUGUAAGGUAAAGGCUGAAUAUUGUAGAUUUAUUACAAUAUGUUGCAUGUUUGAAUUAAAAUACCUGUGGAUAUGCAACUUCCCACUAAUGAAAGUUUUAUUCAAAAGGAGCACACACUCUACAAAGGCCUGACUGGAGAUUUGCCUGAUCUAUCCAUCCUUCAGGUGAGUAGGGAUAUAACAAUAGCACAUUUCACUGUACAGUAUGAUAUAUCAACCAAAAUCUGUAUACCAAUAUUUCAUUUUCUUUUUCCUCCCCUUUUACAAACAAAUAUUCUGCUUCAAAGAAAAAAAAUGAAAUUGAUGUUAUCAUAAGGGUUCUUCAUUAUGAACUUGUAUGCCAUGCAUAACAUACUGUGGAUAGAAUUUACAGGGAAAGUUACUGGUAUGAUAAUUGUGGUUAUAUUAUAUUACUAUUAUAUUUAGUGUAUUGCUAAUCAAUAUAUUGUUACUUCCCAGAUGACAGCGGCUCGCUUCAAGAGCAGGUGAAGCAAGUUGGGACAAUGUUGAAGACAUUUGCUCGCACUGGGUAAUCAGGUGCAGAACAAACCCUAAUGCUGCGACGUCUUGGAAUUUGGCGAUGUUGUGUGUAGCAUGGACGACAAAAUGCUAUGCUGCAACGUUUCAGUGCCAAUGUGUCUGUUGGAGAGUUAUCCCUGCCAGGGGAUCUGUUACUCCCCCCUAGACACCCAGGAAGAUUUGGCGUUGCUUGACAACAGUUUGAGGCAGGAUAAAGAGCUCCAGCAACGAUUUCUUCGGUUUUUGGCAAUCAAAUGUGGGAGGGACCUAAAGACAACCGUGUGGC
Xyrauchen texanus (razorback sucker) is the source of this 1091-nucleotide long non-coding RNA. RefSeq lists it as uncharacterized. The record is from RefSeq and is a predicted model, not a curated record. The transcript is spliced from 3 exons. NCBI's taxonomy places the organism in Eukaryota, Metazoa, Chordata, Actinopteri, Cypriniformes, Catostomidae.